GGGGCUACAACUCAGUGGUAAAGUGCUUGCCUUGCAUGUAUGAGGCACUGGGUUCAAUCCUCAGCACCA
RNAcentral lists this transfer RNA (69 nucleotides) under Marmota monax (woodchuck). Its description in RNAcentral is "tRNA.Ala". The record is from RNAcentral. Lineage: Eukaryota; Metazoa; Chordata; Mammalia; Rodentia; Sciuridae.